RNAcentral lists this unclassified non-coding RNA (277 nucleotides) under plant metagenome. Its description in RNAcentral is "partial contains small subunit ribosomal RNA, internal transcribed spacer 1, and 5.8S ribosomal RNA". The stretch from base 1 to 52 matches the Rfam family "Eukaryotic small subunit ribosomal RNA", at positions 1778 to 1831 of the family's 1831-position model. The record is from RNAcentral.
GGAAGUAAAAUCGUAACAAGGUUUCCGUAGGUGAACCUGCGGAGGAUCAUUACUGAGUUCUGGGGCAUUUGUAGUCUUUUCUUUUAGGGAGAUUGCAUCUGCUCUUUACCUCUUCCCCCUUUGAUAUUAUUUUUAUAGUUGCUUUGGUAGUUGCAUGUUUUUGCAGCUGCCAAGGGAUGUAUUUAAACUUCUGUUUAUCAAUAGUGAUGUUUCAGUAGUCUGAUUUUUAAUUACUUAAUAGUAUAUAAAACUUUCAACAAUGGAUCUCUUGGUUCUG